CACAUACUCCCUCCGUCCGAAAAUACUUGUCAUCAAAAUGGAUCAAAAUGGAUGUAUUUAGAUCUAGAUACAUCUAGAUACAUUCAUUUCAAUGACAAGUAUUUCCGGACGGAGGGACUUGAGG
Non-coding RNA from Triticum aestivum (bread wheat), 124 nucleotides. The record is from Rfam. NCBI's taxonomy places the organism in Eukaryota, Viridiplantae, Streptophyta, Magnoliopsida, Poales, Poaceae.